This 472-nucleotide ribosomal RNA is filed under the name uncultured bacterium. RNAcentral describes it as "bacterial SSU rRNA". It matches the Rfam family "Bacterial small subunit ribosomal RNA", at positions 8 to 526 of the family's 1533-position model. The record is from RNAcentral.
AGGGUUUGAUUAUGGCUCAGAACGUACGCUGGCGGCACGCCUAACACAUGCAAGUCGAACGCAGUAGCAAUACUGAGUGGCAAACGGGUGAGUAUAAUGUGGGAAUCUGCCUUUUGGUUUGGAAUAACACGGGGAAACUUGUGCUAAUACCGGAUAAGCCCUUACGGGGAAAGUUUUAACGCCGAAAGAUGAGCCUGCACUUGAUUAGCUAGUUGGUAAGGUAAAGGCUUACCAAGGCAACGAUCAAUAGCUGUUCUUAGAGGAAGACCAGCCACAUUGGGACUGAGACACGGCCCAGACUCCUACGGGAGGCAGCAGUGGGGAAUCUUGCACAAUGGGGGAAACCCUGAUGCAGCGAUGCCGCGUGAGUGAAGAAGGCCUUUGGGUUGUAAAACUCUUUCGUCGGGGAAGAAAAUGACUGUACCCGAAUAAGAAGGUCCGGCUAACUUCGUGCCAGCAGCCGCGGUAAUAC